Molecule: ribosomal RNA, 379 nt
Filed under: uncultured bacterium
Lineage: Bacteria
Description: bacterial SSU rRNA
Rfam family: Bacterial small subunit ribosomal RNA
Source: RNAcentral
GGCGGACGGGUGAGUAACGCGUAGGAAUCUAGUCCUUGGAAUGGGGGGACAACCGUGGGAAACUACGGCUAAUACCGCAUGAUGCCUGAGGGCCAAAGACGAAAGUCGUUGAGGAGGAGCCUGCGUCUGAUUAGGUAGUUGUGGGGUAAAGGCCUACCAAGCCUGCGAUCAGUAGCUGGUCUGAGAGGAUGAUCAGCCACACUGGGACUGAGACACGGCCCAGACUCCUACGGGAGGCAGCAUGGGGAAUAUUGGACAAUGGGCGCAAGCCUGAUCCAGCAAUGCCGCGUGGGUGAAGAAGGUCUUCGGGAUUGUAAAAGCCCUUUUGGCGGGGACGAUGAUGACGGUACCCGCAGAAUAAGCUCCGGCUAACUUCGUG